This 687-nucleotide ribosomal RNA is filed under the name uncultured bacterium. RNAcentral's name for it is "bacterial SSU rRNA". It matches the Rfam family "Bacterial small subunit ribosomal RNA", at positions 105 to 788 of the family's 1533-position model. The record is from RNAcentral.
GGUGAGUAAUGCAUCGGAACGUGCCCAGUCGUGGGGGAUAACGCAGCGAAAGCUGUGCUAAUACCGCAUACGAUCUAUGGAUGAAAGCGGGGGACCGAAAGGCCUCGCGCGAUUGGAGCGGCCGAUGUCAGAUUAGCUAGUUGGUGGGGUAAAGGCCCACCAAGGCGACGAUCUGUAGCUGGUCUGAGAGGACGACCAGCCACACUGGGACUGAGACACGGCCCAGACUCCUACGGGAGGCAGCAGUGGGGAAUUUUGGACAAUGGGCGCAAGCCUGAUCCAGCAAUGCCGCGUGCAGGAAGAAGGCCUUCGGGUUGUAAACUGCUUUUGUACGGAACGAAACGGUCCGGGUUAAUACCCUGGGCUAAUGACGGUACCGUAAGAAUAAGCACCGGCUAACUACGUGCCAGCAGCCGCGGUAAUACGUAGGGUGCAAGCGUUAAUCGGAAUUACUGGGCGUAAAGCGUGCGCAGGCGGUUUUGUAAGACAGGCGUGAAAUCCCCGGGCUCAACCUGGGAAUGGCGCUUGUGACUGUGAAACUGGAGUGCGGCAGAGGGGGAUGGAAUUCCGCGUGUAGCAGUGAAAUGCGUAGAUAUGCGGAGGAACACCGAUGGCGAAGGCAAUCCCCUGGGCCUGCACUGACGCUCAUGCACGAAAGCGUGGGGAGCAAACAGGAUUAGAUACCCU